RNAcentral lists this ribosomal RNA (386 nucleotides) under uncultured prokaryote. RNAcentral's name for it is "bacterial SSU rRNA". It matches the Rfam family "Archaeal small subunit ribosomal RNA", at positions 339 to 725 of the family's 1478-position model. The record is from RNAcentral.
GCGCGAAAACUUUACAAUGCUGGCAACAGCGAUAAGGGAACCUCGAGUGCCAGGUUACAAAUCUGGCUGUCGAGAUGCCUAAAAAGCAUUUCAUAGCAAGGGCCGGGCAAGACCGGUGCCAGCCGCCGCGGUAACACCGGCGGCUCGAGUUGUAACCGUUAUUAUUGGGUCUAAAGGGUCUGUAGCCGGCCGGAUAAGUCUCUUGAGAAAUCUGGCAGCUUAACUGUCAGGCUUUCAGGAGAUACUGUCUGGCUCGAGGCCGGGAGAGGUGAGAGGUACUUCAGGGGUAGGGGUGAAAUCUUGUAAUCCUUGAAGGACCACCAGUGGCGAAGGCAUCUCACCAGAACGGACCUGACGGCAAGGGACGAAAGCUAGGGGCACGAACC